This 237-nucleotide unclassified non-coding RNA is filed under the name fungal sp. RNAcentral's name for it is "partial internal transcribed spacer region". The stretch from base 1 to 46 matches the Rfam family "Eukaryotic small subunit ribosomal RNA", at positions 1786 to 1831 of the family's 1831-position model. The record is from RNAcentral. Lineage: Eukaryota; Fungi.
AAGUCGUAACAAGGUUUCCGUAGGUGAACCUGCGGAAGGAUCAUUAAUAAUUUUAUGAAAUUUCUUUGUUUACAAAGAGUUUUAUUACAUUUCUUGUGAAUUAAUUACGUUUUGUAUGAGAUUUCUUUAUGAAUUUCAUAUAAAAAACAUACUUUUUUACUCUAUUGUCUGAAACAUUUUAUAUUAUAAUAAUAAUAAUUAAAAAACAACUUUUAACAACGGAUCUCUUGGCUCUCC